GGAAAUUCGUGGCAAAAUAUCCUCCAGAGCAGGCAGUGUCAGUAGCAACCAUUGUAGAAGGCCAUGGGCCCGCAGUCUCCACGGCCAGAUCCUAUCAAUGACACUCCAGUCCACUCCAGCGACAGUUGAUUGUGGACUCAACUGAGACCAUCCAGGGCUUGCUACGGAUAAAGCAGUUACUUGUGUCCUUGGAUUUGAAAGAUGGUUGUGUGGAGACCCGUGCUACUGCUAUACAUGAUCAUGUGUUGUCGCUACAAGAUGAUGCAUCCAGUGUGAGUAGGAGGAGCAAUAUGGUCAUAGAGAGGAUGGAUAGAUAUAUUGGACGGAUUGAUGAUCUUAUUAUCCAGGUUGAUAGGUCCAUUGAUAUGAUGAGAAGUGUGCAUGCCCCAUUACAAUGAGAGUUAUGAUAUAGUGCGAGGCAUGCAAGGUUGAAUUGAUGAGAAGUCCGCUCCAUGAGAGAGAUUCUCUCACACCUACUCCCAUGUUCUCCAUUUUCUUCAGAUCCAGCAAGUUUUGGGGCUUCUCUACCGUUCCAUCACUGCUACCGUCAGAUUGACCAAAAAAAUCUCUAUUUUCCUUCUUUGCCUUUUGUUUUGCAUUUCACUAUCAUAUUUUUGUACAUUGAGGACAAUGUACAUGUUAAGUUUGGGGUGGCUGUUGUUUUAUCAUCGAUUGUUCUAUAGAAUUAACUGCUUUUGUGUGAUUGUCAACUGUCAAAAAAAUGUAGAAAAUCAGAAAAAUUCAUAAAAACAUGUCCUUUUAUGCUUUUUAUUACUUUUGAGUGUUUAUGUGCCCAUGAAGUAAGAUAAUACCAGCCUCAGGUCUUAUCCACUCCAGCUGUUAUUUUAGGGAUAUAAAGGGUCGGAAAGACGGAGAAGGGCAUCUCAACCCCAAGGGACGCCUCUUUCCACAACAUUCAAGAGCCCACCAUUUGGCUCCAGGAUUUCGGAUUGAGUUGGGUCGGAGCUAACCCAUAGGACCUAAGUACCAAGAAAGGGUGAAUUGGAAGCCUAAGGCCAGCUCUAAGACUUGCCAUCAAUGAUGUGUAUAUUAGAAUAAUCUAUUAAACUAAAACUUGGUGUAAAGAUUCUAAAUUGAGUUUUUUGAUGCUUGUCUAUAUGAAACUUGAUCUAAAUUGCACACGAU
Molecule: long non-coding RNA, 1146 nt
Filed under: Olea europaea (common olive)
Lineage: Eukaryota; Viridiplantae; Streptophyta; Magnoliopsida; Lamiales; Oleaceae
Description: long non-coding RNA (OEUR_LNC000631)
Source: RNAcentral